UACGUAGGCAGCGAGCGUUGUUCGGAAUUAUUGGGCGUAAAGGGUGUGUAGGCGGUGUCGUAAGUUUGGUGUGAAAUCUCCCGGCUUAACCGGGAGGGUGCGCCGAAGACUGCGAUGCUUGAGGUUGGGAGAGGUAAGCGGAAUUCCUGGUGUAGCGGUGAAAUGCGUAGAUAUCAGGAGGAACACCUGCGGUGUAGACGGCUUACUGGACCACACCUGACGCUGAAACACGAAAGCGUGGGUAGCAAACAGG
Molecule: ribosomal RNA, 253 nt
Filed under: uncultured bacterium
Lineage: Bacteria
Description: partial 16S ribosomal RNA
Rfam family: Bacterial small subunit ribosomal RNA
Source: RNAcentral